This 497-nucleotide ribosomal RNA is filed under the name uncultured bacterium. Its description in RNAcentral is "partial 16S ribosomal RNA". It matches the Rfam family "Bacterial small subunit ribosomal RNA", at positions 28 to 507 of the family's 1533-position model. The record is from RNAcentral.
GAUGAACGCUGGCGGCGUGCCUAAUACAUGCAAGUCGAGCGAACGGACGAGAAGCUUGCUUCUCUGAUGUUAGCGGCGGACGGGUGAGUAACACGUGGAUAACCUACCUAUAAGACUGGGAUAACUUCGGGAAACCGGAGCUAAUACCGGAUAAUAUUUUGAACCGCAUGGUUCAAAAGUGAAAGACGGUCUUGCUGUCACUUAUAGAUGGAUCCGCGCUGCAUUAGCUAGUUGGUAAGGUAACGGCUUACCAAGGCAACGAUGCAUAGCCGACCUGAGAGGGUGAUCGCCCACACUGGAACUUAGACACGGUCCAGACUCCUACGGGAGGCAGCAGUAGGGAAUCUUCCGCAAUGGGCGAAAGCCUGACGGAGCAACGCCGCGUGAGUGAUGAAGGUCUUCGGAUCGUAAAACUCUGUUAUUAGGGAAGAACAUAUGUGUAAGUAACUGUGCACAUCUUGACGGUACCUAAUCAGAAAGCCACGGCUAACUACGUG